This 106-nucleotide ribosomal RNA is filed under the name Erinaceus europaeus (western European hedgehog). Lineage: Eukaryota; Metazoa; Chordata; Mammalia; Eulipotyphla; Erinaceidae. The record is from RNAcentral.
GUCUACGGUCAUAUCACCCUGAACACACCCAAUCUCGUGUGACCUUGGAAGCUAAGCAGGGUCGGGCCAGGUUUGUACUUAGAUGGGAAAGAAAGAGAUAGAGGCA